Molecule: unclassified non-coding RNA, 295 nt
Filed under: uncultured Sebacina
Lineage: Eukaryota; Fungi; Basidiomycota; Agaricomycetes; Sebacinales; Sebacinaceae
Description: sequence contains 5.8S rRNA gene
Source: RNAcentral
GAACGCACCUUGCACCCUUUGGCAUUCCGAAGGGUAUGCUCGUUUGAGUGUCAUUGUACUCUCACACUCCCAAUGCUUUUGGAUUGGGAGCGGUGGACUUGGGUGUUGCUGCUUUGCUGUGGCUCGCCUCAAAUGGAGUAGUGCAACUCUCGGUUGGACAUAGUACGGCGUGAUAAGUAUCUUCGCCGGCGCCUCACUUCGAGGGUGGCCGAUCGGGAGCUCUGUGCUUCAAACCGUCUUCGGACAAUAUUUGACAACUUGACCUCAAAUCGAGUAGGACUACCCGCUGAACUUA